AGCUAGUGCUAGCAUUUUCCUUAGGUAAAAACCCUUGCUCCUUCCCAGCGCCACCCUCUUGUCCAAAUAUGGUCACUUCUGGCUCCAAAAAAACCAAGAUGACGACGGACAAAAUGCCAGACUCGAGGCCUCAAGACAAAGAGAAGAAGAUGUGCUUGAUUGAAGAAGAAGGUUCUUCUGGUCCUGCAGUCAAUCCUGUUUCUUCCAUCCCAACCCCUCUAUCCUCUGUCCUGCUCUGUUUGUUGUCUCUACUGAAUUUUCUCUCUCCCUGUAUUUCACUCUAUGGCUUGCAUUUGGUUGCAUUCAUAUGCUAAACUUUGAGAAAACACUUUGAGAGAAAAAAGGUCUUCUUGAGCUUUUGUGGUUCCCAAACAUGGAUUUUGAUGAGUAAUCUGUUUAUUGUUUGUUGAACUGAUUCAUAAUUUUAUCUAUAAAAUGUAAAAUGUCUUCUGAUUACUUCC
Siniperca chuatsi (mandarin fish) is the source of this 461-nucleotide long non-coding RNA. RefSeq lists it as uncharacterized. The transcript has 3 exons. Lineage: Eukaryota; Metazoa; Chordata; Actinopteri; Centrarchiformes; Sinipercidae. The record is from RefSeq and is a predicted model, not a curated record.